RNAcentral lists this ribosomal RNA (823 nucleotides) under uncultured Actinomycetes bacterium. RNAcentral describes it as "bacterial SSU rRNA". It matches the Rfam family "Bacterial small subunit ribosomal RNA", at positions 68 to 905 of the family's 1533-position model. The record is from RNAcentral. Lineage: Bacteria; Bacillati; Actinomycetota; Actinomycetes.
GAUGAAGUUCCUUCGGGAAUGGAUUAGUGGCGAACGGGUGAGGAACACGUGAGAAACCUGCCUUUCAUUCUGGGAUAACACCGGGAAACCGGUGCUGAUACCGGAUACUCCAUCUUGGCGGCAUCGCCGAGCUGGGAAAAAAUUUUGAUGAAAGAUGGUCUCGCGGCCUAUCAGCUAGUUGGUGAGGUAAAGGCUCACCAAGGCGACGACGGGUAGCCGGCCUGAGAGGGCGACCGGCCACACUGGGACUGAGACACGGCCCAGACUCCUACGGGAGGCAGCAGUAGGGAAUAUUGGGCAAUGGGCGAAAGCCUGACCCAGCGACGCCGCGUGAGGGAUGAAGGUCUUCGGAUUGUAAACCUCUUUCAGUAGGGAAGAAGCGAAAGUGACGGUACCUAAAGAAGAAGCACCGGCUAACUAUGUGCCAGCAGCCGCGGUAAUACAUAGGGUGCAAGCGUUGUCCGGAAUCAUUGGGCGUAAAGAGCUCGUAGGUCGUUUGUCGCGUCGAUUGUGAAAAUCUGAGGCUCAACCUCAGACCUGCAGUCGAUACGGGCAAACUAGAGUGUGGUAGGGGAGACUGGAAUUCCUGGUGUAGCGGUGGAAUGCGCAGAUAUCAGGAGGAACACCAAUGGCGAAGGCAGGCCUCUGGGCCAUAACUGACACUGAGGAGCGAAAGUGCGGGGAGCGAACAGGAUUAGAUACCCUGGUAGUCCGCACCGUAAACGGUGGGCACUAGUUGUGGGAACCUUCCACGGUUUCCGCGACGCAGCAAACGCAUUAAGUGCCCCGCCUGGGGAGUACGAUCGCAAGAUUAAAACUCAAA